This 489-nucleotide ribosomal RNA is filed under the name uncultured Lachnospiraceae bacterium. RNAcentral describes it as "partial 16S ribosomal RNA". Lineage: Bacteria; Bacillati; Bacillota; Clostridia; Lachnospirales; Lachnospiraceae. The record is from RNAcentral.
CACGUAGUUAGCCGGGGCUUCUUACUCAGGUACCGUCAUUUUCUUCCCUGCUGAUAGAGCUUUACAUCACGAAUGACUUCUUCACUCACGCGGCGUUGCUGCAUCAGGGUUUCCCCCAUUGUGCAAUAUUCCCCACUGCUGCCUCCCGUAGGAGUUUGGGCCGUGCCUCAGUCCCAAUGUGGCCGUUCACCCUCUCAGGCCGGCUACUGAUCGUCGCCUUGGUGGGCUUCUACCCCGCCAACCAGCUAAUCAGACGCGGAUCCAUCUUACACCACCGGAGUUUUUCACACUGAGCCAUGCGGCUCCGUGCGCUUAUGCGGUAUUAGCACCUAUUUCUAAGUGUUAUCCCCCAGUGCAAGGCAGGUUAUCCACGCGUUACUCACCCGUCCGCCACUAAGUUACGAAUCACUAGGUUUCAUCGUAACUCCGUUCGACUUGCAUGUGUUAGGCACGCCGCCAGCGUUCAUCCUGAGCCAGGACUCAAACUCU